UGAGGAAUAUUGGUCAAUGGGGGCAACCCUGAACCAGCCAAGUCGCGUGAAGGAUGAAGGUCUUAUGGAUUGUAAACUUCUUCUACACGGGAAUAAAGUGGGGGACGUGUCCCCCUUUGCAUGUACCGUGUGAAUAAGGAUCGGCUAACUCCGUGCCAGCAGCCGCGGUAAUACGGAGGAUCCGAGCGUUAUCCGGAUUUAUUGGGUUUAAAGGGUGCGCAGGCGGGAUGUUAAGUCGGCGGUGAAAUUUUGCAGCUCAACUGUAAAAGUGCCUUCGAUACUGGCCUCCUUGAGUGUGGAUGAAGUAGGCGGAAUUUGUGGUGUAGCGGUGAAAUGCUUAGAUAUCACGAGGAACUCCGAUUGCGCAGGCAGCUUACUAAGCCACAACUGACGCUCAUGCACGAAGGCGUGGGGAUCAAACA
RNAcentral lists this ribosomal RNA (422 nucleotides) under uncultured bacterium. RNAcentral's name for it is "bacterial SSU rRNA". It matches the Rfam family "Bacterial small subunit ribosomal RNA", at positions 355 to 774 of the family's 1533-position model. The record is from RNAcentral.